AUGCAUGUAAAACUUCCCCUCUUAGAUUUAAAGGAGUUGAAAAAAGUCAAUCAUUUGGUGUUAAGAGGGAUGCAGAGGGAAGAGUGUGUAACCCACAAAGUCUAGUGAAGUAUGAUGCAGAAAAACUUAGGGUGUCAACCGUUAAGUUUUUUAUUAGGUGUGAAUUGCCUUUUAGGCUUGUGGAGAAUGAAGGGUUUGUUGAGUAUGUGGCUGAUUUAGAGUAUCGAUUUACUUUACCAUCCCGAAUCACUUUAAAAAAGGAUUGUAUUAAGCUGUAUAACGAAGAGAAGAUACAGCUAAAAAAAUUGUUGGAUGAUUGUCGAAGCCCUCAUUUGCACUCAAAAUUGGUUAAGGACCAAACCUGUCGACAUCUGGGAGUUGGAAGAAUACGUACAGUCGAUAGAUCUUGAAGAUGAUUAUCUAGCUUCAUCUUCAACAGAGGCUACUGUGAGUCUCUCUUCCCAUUCAUGCU
This is a long non-coding RNA of Juglans microcarpa x Juglans regia, 472 nucleotides long. RefSeq lists it as uncharacterized. The transcript has 3 exons. The record is from RefSeq and is a predicted model, not a curated record. NCBI's taxonomy places the organism in Eukaryota, Viridiplantae, Streptophyta, Magnoliopsida, Fagales, Juglandaceae.